UACGUAGGUGGCAAGCGUUGUCCGGAUUUACUGGGCGUAAAGAGCGCGCAGGCGGCUCUUCAAGUCGAGUGUGAAAGCUCCAGGCUUAACCUGGGAAUUGCGCUCGAUACUGUUGAGCUAGAGUGUGGAAGGGGCUACUGGAAUUCCGUGUGUAGCGGUGAAAUGCGUAGAUAUCGGGAGGAACAUCAGUGGCGAAGGCGGCUACCUGGCCCAAUACUGACACUCAGGUGCGACAGCGUGGGGAGCAAACAGG
Molecule: ribosomal RNA, 253 nt
Filed under: uncultured bacterium
Lineage: Bacteria
Description: partial 16S ribosomal RNA
Rfam family: Bacterial small subunit ribosomal RNA
Source: RNAcentral